Molecule: long non-coding RNA, 374 nt
Filed under: Equus asinus (donkey)
Lineage: Eukaryota; Metazoa; Chordata; Mammalia; Perissodactyla; Equidae
Description: lncRNA (ENSEASG00005032927.1)
Source: RNAcentral
UCAUCCCGCACGAAGCCUGGUCCAAGGUGGGGCGGGCGUUCGGAGGUCAGCCCAGCUCGUGAUGAGAGAGCACGGCCGCGCUCCCCAGGCUCUCUGACCUCACUGCACCAUUUGUACUUUUGGCAAGUGUCACUUGUCAAGACUCAGACUUUGAUUCAGCAACCAGGAAACCAUGAGGAAUGUGACUGAGGAAAGCAUACAAGAAGAGAUCUUCGGCCUAGUUUUCAAUCUCCGAGUAAUGCGACGGGUAAACUUAGAUCAUGAUGCUUGGCAUUACGGAAGCUAUCUUGGUACCAUGAGGUUGAAAGCCACAAGCUGAGAACUGUGUCACAGGAAGCAAGCAGAAUCCUUCCCUCAUGAUCUCAUGAAGCCAC